Molecule: RNA transcript, 4037 nt
Organism: Gossypium arboreum
Lineage: Eukaryota; Viridiplantae; Streptophyta; Magnoliopsida; Malvales; Malvaceae
Gene name: disease resistance protein RUN1
Exons: 8
Source: RefSeq, a predicted model, not a curated record
AUGUUGUCGUUACUUUCGACUUCCUCAUCCAUUUCUAGAAAGAAAUACGAUGUUUUCUUGAGUUUUAGAGGUGAAGAUACCCGCAAGAACUUUACGGAUCAUCUCUACGAUGCUCUAAAUAGAAGUGGGAUUGUCACUUUUAGAGACGAUCCAAAGUUGGAGGCCGGUGAAGAGAUCGCACCGGAACUCUUCAAAGCAAUUCAGCAAUCAUGGUGCUCGGUAAUCGUUUUUUCGGAGACCUAUGCCUUUUCAGGUUGGUGCUUGGAGGAGCUUGCGGAGAUUGUUAAACAGAAAAAUGACAAGCGUCAUAAAGUAUUUCCAAUUUUCUAUGACGUGGAUCCAUCCGAUUUAAGAAAAAAGAAGGGAAAAGUUGAAGAAGCCUUCGCCAAACACGAAGAAAGAUACAAGAAAGAUAAAGACAAGAUCCAAAAGUGGCGAAAUGCUUUGACUGAAGUGGCUAACAUCUCGGGAUGGCAUUUAAAUAAUAGGCAUGAAUCAGAGUUUAUCAGAGACAUUGUUAAGAAGAUAUCAGCAAAAUUAGAUCAGAUAUAUCCAAUUGAUCAUGAUCAUGAUGAGUUAAUUGGAAUUAGUUUACGUUUGGAGGAGUUGUAUUCGAAAAUAAACAUUGGGGAAGAUGAUGUCCGCAUCAUAGGAAUUUGCGGAAUGGGUGGCAUCGGUAAAACAACUCUUGCAAAGGUUGUUUGCUCUCAAAUAUCAUCUCAUUUUGAAGGUAAAUGCUUUCUUGCUGAUAUUCGAGAAGUUUCAAACAAACAUGGACUUGUUUCUUUACAGAAACAACUUCUUUCUCAAAUCGUGCCAGAUGAAUGCCUCAACUUUUUCAAUGUUCAUGAAGGGAAUGCCAAAAUUAGCCGUAGAUUGUCUAGCAAAAAAGUUCUUGUUGUUCUUGAUGAUGUUGAUAGCGUACAACACUUGAAAUGCUUGGUUGGAAGACGUGAUUGGUUCAAUUUAGGGAGUAGGAUCAUUGUAACAACAAGAGAUGAACAAUUGCUCCGAUCUUAUCGAAUCGAUGAUGUGUAUAAGCCUACAACAUUGAAUCUAAACGAUGCACAUAGGCUUUUCAAUUUGAAAGCUUUUGAUAGUGAUACAGUACUAAAAGAUGAUUUUAUUGAGCUCUCUAAACAUGUUGUACGUUACGCUGGUGGUCUCCCCUUAGCUCUUGAAAUCUUGGGUUCUUUUUUGUACGGUAGAGAUUUAGCUCAAUGGAGAAGUGCAAUUGAAAGACUUAAACAAGAUUCUAACAAAGAAAUUCUUGACACACUAAGAAUCAGCUUUGAUGGACUGGAAGAAAGGGAAAAGAAUAUAUUUCUAGAUAUAGCAUGCUUUUUCAACGGGGAGAAGAAAGAUUUGGUAAUGAAAGUAUUAGAUGGUUGUGAUUUUUUUCCGGAUAUUGGAAUCGAUGUUCUCAUUAAGAAAUCUCUCAUAAAAGUUAGUGAUGACAACCAAUAUUUGCGGAUGCAUGCCUUAUUGCAAGAAAUGGGAAGAAAAAUUGUUGAAGAAAAAUGUGUUGAUGAACUUGGAAAACGUUGUAGAUUGUGGAAGGAAAGGGAUGUCCAUCAUGUUCUAGUAAAAAACACGGCAACCAAAGUGAUUGAAGGCAUGAUCAUCGACAAUAAAAGGGAAUCGAACAAUAUGCUCAAUUUGAGUGCGGAUACCUUCUCGAAGAUGAAAAAAUUGAGAUUGCUCAAAGUGCUUUGCCAAUCAAAUUGUGACGAUCUCAAAUAUCUCUCUAAUGAACUACGACUUUUAGAUUGGACAGGAUAUCCUUUAAGAUACUUGCCUUCAAGCUUCCAACCAGACAACCUUGUCACACUUCUUUUAAUAUAUAGUCACAUUGAACAACUAUGGAAAGGAAAUAGACCUUUGUAUAAGUUGAAAAUGAUCAACCUCAAAGGGUCCCGAAACCUGAUCAAGACACCAGACUUCACAACAGCACCAAAACUUGAAGUUUUGAUAAUGGAAGGUUGUACCAGAUUAGUAGAUGUCCAUCCAUCAACCGGAGUGCUUAAGAGCCUUAAACUUUUAAAUUUAAGAGGCUGCACAAGUCUUAAGAGUUUUCCGAUUAAAAUUGGAAUGGAAUCUCUUGAAACAUUAAAUCUUUCGGGUUGCUCAAAUCUUGUUAGGUUUCCGGAGAUUGACGGGAAAAUGGAAUGUCUAAAAACACUUGAUCUUUCUGGUUGUUCUAGAGUUGAAAAUUUGCCAGAGAAUUUGCAGCAAGUAGAGUUUUUGGAAGAGCUUGACUUGAGUGGAACAGCCAUAACAGAGCCACCAUCCUUCAUUUUUCAAUUGAAAAAUCUUAAAAUUCUGUCUUACUAUGGGUGCAAAGGACCAUCAUCUAAGUUACGAUUAAAUUGGGCUUCUCUUUUAAAGGUAAUCCAGAAAGAAAGGACAAAUUCUGUGCCUCGGAUGUUGCCUUUGUUGUCAAGUUUGAGUUCUUUAAGAGAAUUGAAGCUAAGGGACUGCAAUCUUUGUGAAGGAGAUAUUCCUAAUGAUAUUUCUGGUUUAUCCUCUUUGGAAUUCCUUGAUCUUAGUGGUAACAAUUUCAUCAACAUACCUGCAUCUCUUACUGGACUCUCAAAGCUUGAUUCUCUUAAAUUGUCAAAUUGCAACAUGUGCACUCUUGGUGAAGCAGAUAUUCAUGGUCUAUCCUCUUUGAGAUAUCUUUUUGUUGGGGGUAACAAUUUCAUCACCAUUCCUUUGGCUCUGACUCAACUUUCCAGGCUUAAAUUGCUUGCAUUAUCAAAUUGCAUGACGCUUAACUCGUUGCCUGAGCUACCAACAAGUAUAGAAGAUGUGUGGCUAGAUGGUUGUUCUUCACUUGAAGUAGUUGCAAGUCCAUCAAAAGUAUGCAAUUUAGUGGAUUCGGCUGCUAUUAAAGCCUUUAACUGCUUCAAAUUGGCUGAGAAUAUCAAUGCAUUAACACUGCUGAGAAAACAUCUUAAGGCAUUUGCAAAUUCAAGAAAAAUGUUUGAUAUUAUCAUGCCAGGAAGUGAAAUCCCAGAAUGGUUUAGCCAACAAAAAAGUGACUUCUUUAUUAAGAUUCCCUUACCUAUCAGCCUUCAAGAAGAUAGUGAAUGGAUUGGAGUUGCUUGCUGCUGCAUUUUUGUCAAUAAUGAUGCUCCAAGGGAUGUGAGCUUUAUCGACUGUGGAGCGUUAAUGUAUGGUAGAAAUCCUCGACAGAUUGAGAGGAGAGGCUGGUUGGUGGGUAAACGAUUCAACAUGCCAAUAAUGAAAGAUCACAUUUUUCUUCGUUAUUGGUCGCGUGAUAAAUUAUAUCCAUUUUCCUUGGAGGAUAAAUAUGGUGGCUGUGAAACCAAUAAUAUAAGGACAACAGAUUGCUUAAAUCAUAAACGUGAUGGGCUUCAUGUGUUUUUCAAUGGUCAUAGCCUUAAGGUGAAGAAGUGUGGUGUUAGAAUAGUGUAUGAGAAAGAUUUGGAAGAAAUAAAAGAGUUACAGUGCCAUACCACUCAAUCUUCACCAAAUUUUGAACACAUCCACCAACACUCUGCUCACAACGAUGGAUCAGUAGGUAGCACUUCUGACAUAAAACAAAAACGUAAUAUCUCUGAGGAAGCAGAGGAAGAAGGGCUGCAACCAAAACUGAUGCAAAAAUUUUUCAAUUUUAUAAUGGGCCAAUCAGGGAAGAAGCAUUAACUGUGGUUGAAAUAAAUAUAAUCAAUUUGAGAUAGAAAUGUAGAGAAAAUGGAUAGUUUCCGUGACAAAGCAGGCUAAUAGAAGUAUGAAAGUUUACUAAAAGGAUGAUGCAAGUGAGGGACCAACAAAAGUCUUCAAGUUGAAAUGAAAGUGGACACUUUAGCAAGUAUAGGGUCGGAUGAAUUUAGAGAAAUAGAUUAUGUUAUUACAUAAUUAGUUGUUUUUUACAUGUAAAUUAUAGUAUUUUAAAUCAACUUUUGAAUUUGUUGCUUGUAUAAUGUAAAUUCAAAUAGUAAUUUAAUUGUAAUGUAAAUAAAACCUUUUAAAUUAGGCAUAAUGACAAAAAGUUCUUAGUGUUUAUGAAA